UACGUAGGCAGCAAGCGUUGUUCGGAAUUACUGGGCGUAAAGAGUGUGUAGGCGGUGCUCUAAGUCUGUUGUGAAAUCUCCCGGCUUAACUGGGAGGGUGCGGCGGAGACUGGAGUGCUAGAGUGUGGGAGAGGUAAGCGGAAUUCCUGGUGUAGCGGUGAAAUGCGUAGAUAUCAGGAGGAACACCUGUGGUGUAGAUAGCUUACUGGACCACGACUGACGCUGAGACACGAAAGCGUGGGUAGCAAACAGG
RNAcentral lists this ribosomal RNA (253 nucleotides) under uncultured bacterium. RNAcentral's name for it is "partial 16S ribosomal RNA". It matches the Rfam family "Bacterial small subunit ribosomal RNA", at positions 524 to 776 of the family's 1533-position model. The record is from RNAcentral.